Molecule: ribosomal RNA, 443 nt
Filed under: uncultured bacterium
Lineage: Bacteria
Description: partial 16S ribosomal RNA
Rfam family: Bacterial small subunit ribosomal RNA
Source: RNAcentral
CCUACGGGAGGCAGCAGUGGGGAAUAUUGGGCAAUGGGCGCAAGCCUGACCCAGCAACGCCGCGUGAAGGAAGAAGGCUUUCGGGUUGUAAACUUCUUUUCUCAGGGACGAAGCAAGUGACGGUACCUGAGGAAUAAGCCACGCCUAACUACGUGACAGCAGCCGGGGUAAUACGUAGGUGGCAAGCGUUAUCCGGAUUUACUGGGUGUAAAGGGCGUGUAGGCGGGACUGCAAGUCAGAUGUGAAAACCACGGGCUCAACCUGUGGCCUGCAUUUGAAACUGUAGUUCUUGAGUACUGGAGAGGCAGACGGAAUGCUGAUUGUAGCGGUGAAAUGCGUAGAUAUUAGGAGGAACACCAGUGGCGAAGGCGGUCUGCUGGACAGCAACUGACGCUGAGGCGCGAAAGCGUGGGGAGCAAACAGGAUUAGAUACCCUUGUAGUC